UUGAACGCUGGCGGCAUGCCUUACACAUGCAAGUCGAACGGCAGCGCGGGGCAACCUGGCGGCGAGUGGCGAACGGGUGAGUAAUAUAUCGGAACGUACCCUAGAGUGGGGGAUAACGUAGCGAAAGUUACGCUAAUACCGCAUACGAUCUAAGGAUGAAAGUGGGGGAUCGCAAGACCUCAUGCUCGUGGAGCGGCCGAUAUCUGAUUAGCUAGUUGGUAGGGUAAAAGCCUACCAAGGCAUCGAUCAGUAGCUGGUCUGAGAGGACGACCAGCCACACUGGAACUGAGACACGGUCCAGACUCCUACGGGAGGCAGCAGUGGGGAAUUUUGGACAAUGGGCGAAAGCCUGAUCCAGCAAUGCCGCGUGAGUGAAGAAGGCCUUCGGGUUGUAAAGCUCUUUUGUCAGGGAAGAAACGGUGAGUUCUAAUACAGCUUGCUAAUGACGGUACCUGAAGAAUAAGCACCGGCUAACUACGU
RNAcentral lists this ribosomal RNA (480 nucleotides) under uncultured bacterium. RNAcentral describes it as "bacterial SSU rRNA". It matches the Rfam family "Bacterial small subunit ribosomal RNA", at positions 30 to 506 of the family's 1533-position model. The record is from RNAcentral.